This 516-nucleotide ribosomal RNA is filed under the name uncultured bacterium. RNAcentral describes it as "bacterial SSU rRNA". It matches the Rfam family "Bacterial small subunit ribosomal RNA", at positions 8 to 526 of the family's 1533-position model. The record is from RNAcentral.
AGAGUUUGAUCAUGGCUCAGGACGAACGCUGGCGGCGUGCCUAACACGUGCAAGUCGAACGGGACCGGGGGCAACUUCGGUUCAGUGGCGGACGGGUGCGUAACACGUGAGGAACAUGACCUUCGGCGGGGGAUAGCCGGCCCAACGGCCGGGUAAUACCGCGUACGACCAUUAGGGGACAUCCUCCGAUGGUGAAAGCAGCAAUGCGCCGAUGGAGUGCCUCGCGGCCUAUCAGCUAGUUGGUGGGGUAACGGCCUACCAAGGCGACGACGGGUAGCUGGUCUGAGAGGAUGGCCAGCCACAUUGGGACUGAGACACGGCCCAGACUCCUACGGGAGGCAGCAGUGGGGAAUAUUGCGCAAUGGACGAAAGUCUGACGCAGCGACGCCGCGUGGGGGAUGAAGGUCUUCGGAUUGUAAACCCCUUUCGGGAGGGAAGAUGGGAUGGGGUAACCCAUUCGGACGGUACCUCCAGAAGCAGCCACGGCUAACUUCGUGCCAGCAGCCGCGGUAAUUC